AUGCAGAGACUGAGCCUGGGGUCCUGGCCUUGCCUUCAACGGGCAACGGGGCCCCGAGUCGAAAACCAAAACAACGACUCUCAGCAACGGAUAUCUUGGCUCUUGCAACGAUGAAGAACGCAGCGAAAUGCGAUACCUAGUGUGAAUUGCAGAAUUCCGCGAAUCAUCGAGUCUUUGAACGCAAGUUGCGCCCGAGGCUUGUCCCGAGGGCAUGCCUGCCUGAGCGUCACCGC
Molecule: ribosomal RNA, 233 nt
Filed under: Herbertus runcinatus
Lineage: Eukaryota; Viridiplantae; Streptophyta; Jungermanniopsida; Jungermanniales; Herbertaceae
Description: 5.8S ribosomal RNA
Rfam family: 5.8S ribosomal RNA (bases 76-229)
About the family: 5.8S ribosomal RNA (5.8S rRNA) is a component of the large subunit of the eukaryotic ribosome.
Source: RNAcentral